CAUGAAGUGGUGCUGCCAGAGGUGCGCCUGGUGGAUGAGGAGUACAGGAGAUGGUGGGGGACCUGCGGGGUGAGUGCAGCAAGUACAGCUCCUCAAGUCCACCUGGAUACAGAUGGUAUCCAGGUGCCUGACUGCAGCAAGAUCCUUGUGGAGCUCACCUCUGUGUGACUACCAGAAAUCCAUGCAGGACCUUUGCAAAUUCGCCAACAACCAGGUUGUCACAAAAUAUUGUGAUCUUGACUCUUAACCAUGGGUGAGACUUAUGGUAGGGUAGGGGCAGAGCUGGCUGGAGGUUUGUCUCUUCACCUGUCCCCCUCUCCCUCCCCCUCUGAAGAUGAUGGGCAGAGGAGUGAGAACAAAAUGACAGGGGGGUGGAGGGGUGGGAGGUUAGGGAAGGGAAGGGACUGCAGAAGUGCACACAGGCCCACACAGACAAGCACCCACACAGACACAGAGGGAGGGGGUUGGGAUGGAGAGGGGCGCACAGCAGGGCAAGUAGGACCCCCAGGACCUCUCCCAAAAUAGCCUCCCCACCUUCGACCCCUUUCUCCUCCCCAUGGUAGGAACACACUGUGUUUAUAUUUCAUGGCCAAAUUAUUUUGGAUUUUGUUGACUGGCCCUUAGUGCCCUGCCCUCUCCCCUUUGCAGGACCACAGCCCCCUCCCUCUGUUCCUCCCUGGUCCCAGCUCUGGUUUUCCUUGUUUCUUAGUUGGUUCUCUUUUGCCUUCCCCAACAGGCUCCCACCCCCACAAUCCUGAGGCCCCUGUCCCUCUCUUCCUCUCAGGGGCAGUUUCAUAUUUCCUAUGACAAAAUUGCUCUUUAAACAUUUUGUUGUAUUAAAAAUAAAUAAAUAAAAAUUUUAAAAAUAAAAAUUUUCACAUGCUUUUGCUGCAUUUUUGAGAUGCUCCUAUGUCCUUUCUUUUCUUAUUCUGUUAAAAUGGUGCAUUAUAUCCCCUCAGAACGGCAAUUAUCAAGAAUACAAGUAACAAUAAAAAUUGGCAAGGAUGUGGGGAAAAGAGAAAUUCCUGGUAGAACUGCAAACUGGUGCAUCCACUCUGGAAAGGAAUAUGGAGAUUCCUCAGAAAACUUGGAAUGGAACCACUAUUUGACCCACUCCUUGGCAUAUAUCCAAAGGACUUAAAAUUACCAUACUAUAGUGAUGAGCCACAUCAGUGUUUUGAGCAGCUCAAUUCACACUAGCUAAGCUAUGGAACUGACCUAGAUGCCUUUCAACAGAUGGAUGGAUAAAGAAAAUAUGGGACAUCUAACACAAUGGAAUAUUAGCCAUAAAGAAGAAGGAAAAUAUGGCAUUUUCUGGAAAAUGGAUGGAACUGAGGACUCUCAUGUUAAUCUCCAAAAACCAAAGACCAAAUGUUAUCUCUGAUAUACAGAUGACUCACAAUAGGUGGUGGUGGGGAGUGGAAGUUCACCAAAUUGGACAGAGAAGAAUGGUGGGAAGGAAGGGGAGAUGGGAAUGGGAAAGACACUAGAAUGAAUUUGAUAUAACUUUCCUAUGUUCAUGAUCACUGUAACUCCACAUCAUGUACAACCACAAGAAUGGGAAGUUCUACUCCAUAUAUAUAUAUGAAAGAUAUGUCAAAAUACAUUCUACUAUCAUGUAUAACUAAAAAGAACAGAUAAAAAAUUAAAAAUAAAAAAAGAAAUAAGGCCAUAAGUUGUUUUACUUGAAGUUAAAGGCAUGUGAAAAAAAUUCUUUUUUAAAAACAAAUCUAGCUUUUUAAAUAGAAAACAAAAAGGUGAAUUACUAUUGUUUAUCUUCUAAUGUAUCCCUCAGUACUUCUAACCAGGUCGUUUAUUAUGGUGGCAAAUCUGGAUUGUUUAUAUGUCCCUUUUUCAUCCUGAUUUGUCCUCUUUUUUAUCUUAUACUUUCAUUGCCCCUUUUUCCAAUAACUAGAAAAUCCUGGAGAGGAAAUGUUCCAUUUCCCUUGUUUGUAGCCCUCUUUCAUGGAUAUUAUUGAUUGACAGGAACUUUUGUAGAAGAGACUUGCACUAGGAGAGUACAAACUAAACUUGGAGUUGAUUCUGUGGCUAAUUAACUUUUUUCCUCCCUAAGAGAAAGUAUUUUGGUAUUUAUGUUUUGCAGAAAAAUAUUUUUUGCAAAAAAAAUUUUGCAAGAAAAAUUUCUAGCAGUUAUAUACCCUGUAACUCCUAUCAAAAUUUAUUUGUGCUUUUUUAUUACCUUACUCCUAAUUGCAAGUGUCAUUGCACUUUCCAUUAUUUUGUCAGGUAAGUUUUUCUCCAAACUAUGCAGUAUUUUGUACACAUUUAUAGUGUCAGUAAAAUUUAUUUAAUUUUGAGCUCUGUUUUGUGUAUCAGUAUCAAUCGGAACAUAAAACUAACUUAAAGUAAUAAGAUGCAGGUUCUAAUACAAAUUUUCUAGUUAGUCAUUUAUCAGUUUAACUUAUUUUGUUUAUGCUUUCCUUAAUGUGGUUCUCUGUUUUGAAAUGUUUCUUCUUUCAGGGCCGGAAAUUUGUAGAUCAGUAAAUUGUUCUGAAAAUUUGCUUAAAUAUGUGGUUUCAAAGUUCCUCCCAUGGCGGGCUUUAGUCUCACAGUCCUUUUCAGCUUCCUGCUCAGUCAGGAGGUGAGCAUCUGUGGUUCACCCACAAUCCAGCAUCACCAAGAGAUCACUAGUGAAUUCUUCUCAGGUCUGAGCACCAAGAUGACAGCUACAGAGGCUUCAGUGGAAAUGUUAAAAACAGACCUUAGAUUCACAGACGGACUGGAAAAAGCUGAACCUGGUAAAGUAAUUGAUGAAAUUAGAAAAAUUAUAAGAGGGGCAUUUUUACUCCCCAGCCCCUGAAUUGCAAAGGGAGCUGAAUUUAGACAUGUUAGUAUUUUACAAUCUCCGAAGAAGUUCCGGAGAGAGGGGAAUAGACUAGGUGUGAGGAUAGAUAUAGAAUUGCUACAUUAGUUAUUGUAUUAUGAUAUAUGUUUCUUAAAUACUCAUGAAGCAAGACUAAUGAAUAGUGAAUUUGGUUGCAAGAGGAGGAGGAAACUGUUCCUUGUGUUCAGAGCACUAGUACUCUCUCUUGCCUAUGUCUCUGGCAAUUUGCACACUUGUAGGUCACACCAUGACUUUCAGUAAUAUGCUCUUUAUAUUCCGGGUUAAUGGCAGACUUCAAUGCCAAUGACUCUAUAAUACACCUACUAAGAUAAUUUACCCUGCAAAAGCUGGAACUUCAAGUUUGCAGAUUCUUUGUGGGCAAGAUGAUUAAAAUGAGCUAUAGAGGAAGCUUUUUCAAGUUGGGACUCCUGCAAUUAUUUAUUCUUUUGAGCAAGUCUCCAUUUAGGCGAUCCUGGGAGAGAAACUUGAAAUUAGACACAGAUGUGGUCAAAUCUGUACAAACUUGUAAGAAAGUAUUUUUUUUCCAAUUUCAUUGCUCUUUCUUACCUCCUCCAUUUUUUUUAUCUUUUCCUCUUAUUAUUUUUUGUUUCUUUAUAAGUCCUGAGUAGUGUUUUUUUUUUUUUACCAAUUCUUCUACUGAAGAAUAUUUGAAUUGUUGAAAAUUUUUUAUUUUUAAUAAUCAAUAAAAAAUAAAACUGCUAUAAAUGUUCAUGUACAGGUUUGAAUAUAAACUUGAGUUUUUAUUCCCCUUGUUUAGAACAUCUAGGGGCACCUGAACAGGGCAUGUGGCAUACGUAUGUUUACCAUUUUUCCUUGCUAAACACAAUACAAGGACCUUCCAUUUGUGUCUGUUCUUCAGCAACACUUGCUGGUGUGACUUUGUUUAGUUUUGUUUACUACUCUAAUAAUCAUAUGGAGAUUACCAAUUAUGGUUCUAAUUUGUAUUUCUCAAAAAUCUAUCAACAUCAAGCAUACUUUAUGUGUUUAUUUACCAUUCUGGCAUUGUCUUUAUUGUUGUUACUUUGUAAGUCAUGAAAUCUAAAACUCUGAUUUCUCCAAAUCUGAUCUUUUUUUUUUUUCCUAAAAUCAUUUAGGCAAUUUUGGUUCUUUUACCUUUUCACAUAAUUAAAAAGUGACCUUCUUAAUUUCUACCAAAAAAUAAAAUAAAAUAAAUCAUAAUGCAAUGUUUACUGGAAUAGCACUGUAUUUAUAAACCUGUUUGGAAAUAGUUUGAAUAUUUAAUCCAUGAGUUGAAUAUUCCAAUCCAUUAAUAUUUUUUUAUUUCUCUAUUGAUUUAUGUCUUCUUAGAGCUGUUUGUUGUUUUUGCAUAUAGUUUUCAUUAUACUGAUUAUGAAUAUAUUUUGAUAGCUUUACAAGUUAAAUAUUUUAUCUUAAUUGGUGUUGCUAUAAAUGGUCCUGAUCUUGUAUUUUAAUUUGCAUUUAGUAAUUCUAGCAUAUGAAAAUAGAAGUUAUUUUUAAAGAUCAGGACUGUACCAUAGCUUUGUAAAAAUUAAUUUAUUACAUCUAAUAUCCUUUUGGUAGAUUCUUUGAUAUCAUCAUCAUGGAUCAGGUCAUUGCUGGGUUGAAUGGGAUACAGCUGUGGGGAUAAAAAGCUGCUCAUACAGAGGACCAGCAUGGGAUCCAAGAACACCAAGCUGAGCACCAGCAAUCAGACACCAGUGAUGCUGUAGGUGCCUGGCCUGAUGAGCUCACAGGUACAGAUAGGGGCCCACCCUACUGAGGUCCUGUGCCUCAUGAAGUGGUGCUGCCAGAGGCACUCCUGGCUAAUGAGGAGUACAGGAGGUCAUGUAGGACCUGUGGGAUAAGUGCAGCAAGUACAGAUCCUCACGUCCGUUGAGAUCCCAGGCCUGUGGAUGGUGUCCAGGUGCCUGACUGUGGCAAGAUCCUUGUGGAGUUCUCCUCUGUGUCUGACUGUCAGAAAUCCAUGCAGGACCUUCACAAAUUCACCAACAGAGUGGUUGUCAAAAAAUAUUGUGACCCCUGACUCUUAACCACUGCGGAGACAUCUGGUAGAAGUGGCCUGGGUAGGGUGGGGGCAUGGCUGCCUGGAGGCUUCUCUCCCCAUUUGUCUCGCCUUUUCCCCCUCUGAAGAUGAGUGACAGCCAAAUGACCACCUGAUAGCCAGCAGAAAAUGGAAUGGCAGCAAUUAAGUGUGGGGGGUGGGGAGUAGGGAGGUUAUGACAGGGAAGGGACUGGGGAAGUGCACACAGGCCCACAUAGACACAGAGGGAAUGGGUUGGGAUGAGGAGGGGUGCACAGUAGGGAGAUAAGACCCCCACAGCCCUUCUUAAAACAGCCUUUUCUCUCUUAGACCCCUUUUCUUCUCCCCUUCCCAUGGUAGGUAGGAACAUACUGUGUUUAUAUUUUAUGGCCAAACUAUUUUGAAUUUUGUUGACUGGCCCUUGGUGCCCUGCCCUCACCCCUUUGCAGGACCACAGCACUGGUCCUUCAGUCCUCCCUGGUACCCCACCUGUUUCCCCUUAUUUCUUAAAUAGUUGGUUCUCUUUGGCCUUCCUGACUCUCUCUAACACCCUAGAGGGUACCGGUGAAAGG
RNAcentral lists this long non-coding RNA (5440 nucleotides) under Marmota monax (woodchuck). Lineage: Eukaryota; Metazoa; Chordata; Mammalia; Rodentia; Sciuridae. The record is from RNAcentral.